This is a small nuclear RNA of Peromyscus eremicus (cactus mouse), 108 nucleotides long. The record is from RefSeq and is a predicted model, not a curated record. NCBI's taxonomy places the organism in Eukaryota, Metazoa, Chordata, Mammalia, Rodentia, Cricetidae.
GUGCUGGCUUUGGCGGUACCUUCACUAAAACUGGAACAAUACAGAGGUUAGCAUGGGCCCUGCACAAGGAUGACACACAAAUUCAUGAAGUGUUAAAAAAAGAUUUUU